This 253-nucleotide ribosomal RNA is filed under the name uncultured bacterium. RNAcentral describes it as "partial 16S ribosomal RNA". It matches the Rfam family "Bacterial small subunit ribosomal RNA", at positions 524 to 776 of the family's 1533-position model. The record is from RNAcentral.
UACGUAGGGAGCAAGCGUUGUCCGGAAUCAUUGGGCGUAAAGCGCGCGUAGGCGGCCCUGUAAGUCCGUUGUGAAAGUCAAAGGCUCAACCUUUGAAAGCCGAUGGAUACUGCAGGGCUAGAGUCCGGAAGAGGCGAGUGGAAUUCCUGGUGUAGCGGUGGAAUGCGCAGAUAUCAGGAGGAACACCCGUGGCGAAAGCGGCUCUCUGGAACGGUACUGACGCUGAGACGCGAAAGCGUGGGGAGCGAACAGG